RNAcentral lists this long non-coding RNA (212 nucleotides) under Solanum tuberosum (potato). RNAcentral describes it as "long non-coding RNA (STUB_LNC011328)". Lineage: Eukaryota; Viridiplantae; Streptophyta; Magnoliopsida; Solanales; Solanaceae. The record is from RNAcentral.
UUUCACCUGUACAAACACUACCAAACACAUCAUAUCCACAUAAAUACACUCGAUUCUAGUAUUACUCCUUAGUUUUCGAGCAUCAAAUGUGCCAAGAUUUCGUGGCACAUCAACACCCUCAACUUAGAACCAUUACUUGUCCUCAAGUGAUGAGAAAAUCAAUACAUUCAGCCCUCAAAUUAUUCAAAAACUUUUGCAACCACGCAGCAGCC